GUCGGGUGUGGGGCUCCGUGGCGUUCGCCACCCUGGUUCCUCAGCACCCUUGGGCUGGGGCUGUCGAGCCCGCCCAAAAAGGUCGUUUCCCCUGCGGUUUCCAACAUGGCAGGUAGGUUUUAUAGACAUGGAUAAGAAGUCCACACACAGAAGUCCUGAAGAUGCCGGGACUGGUAGAAACGGAGGUAAACACAAACAAAAGAAAAAAGCAAAGCAAAACCGAAAACACCACCAAUCCCGACACAGAUCAACAUCUCAUUCUUCAGUUGACUAUGUGUUUCCUGCUUCUUCAUCAUCAUCUUCAGGAAGCCAGACGGAUUCAAGUAUUGAAGGUGCUCCCAAGGGAAAAAUUAAAAGAAAGAGAGGUGAGAAAAGGAAUAAAUGGAAAAAAAAGAAAGAAAGG
Non-coding RNA from Ceratotherium simum simum (southern white rhinoceros), 403 nucleotides. NCBI's taxonomy places the organism in Eukaryota, Metazoa, Chordata, Mammalia, Perissodactyla, Rhinocerotidae. The record is from RefSeq and is a predicted model, not a curated record.